CCUACGGGGGGCAGCAGUGGGGAAUAUUGCACAAGGGGGGAAACCCUGAUGCAGCGACGCCGCGUGAGCGAUGAAGUAUUUCGGUAUGUAAAGCUCUAUCAGCAGGGAAGAAAAUGACGGUAGCUGACUAAGAAGCCACGGCGAACGACGUGCCAGCAGCCGCGGUAAUACGUCGGGGGCAAGCGUUAUCCGGAUUUACUGGGUGUAAAGGGAGCGUAGACGGCGGUGCAAGCCAGAUGUGAAAGCCCGGGGCUCAACCCCGGGACUGCAUUUGGAACUGUGCUGCUAGAGUGUCGGAGAGGCAGGCGGAAUUCCUUGUGUAGCCGUUACAUGCGUCGAUAUUAGGAGGAACACCAGUGGCGAAGGCGGCCUGCUGGACGAUGCCUGACGUUGAGGCUCGACAGCGUGGGGAGCCAACCGGAUUAGAUACCCCAGUAGUC
RNAcentral lists this ribosomal RNA (440 nucleotides) under uncultured bacterium. RNAcentral's name for it is "partial 16S ribosomal RNA". It matches the Rfam family "Bacterial small subunit ribosomal RNA", at positions 338 to 795 of the family's 1533-position model. The record is from RNAcentral.